Molecule: ribosomal RNA, 264 nt
Filed under: uncultured bacterium
Lineage: Bacteria
Description: partial 16S ribosomal RNA
Rfam family: Bacterial small subunit ribosomal RNA
Source: RNAcentral
UACGAGGUGCAGCGUAAGUCGAAUACUGGGCGUAAGCGCACGCAGGCGGUGGAUAAGUUAGAUGUGAAAGCCCCGGGCUCAACCUGGGAAUUGCAUUUAAAACUGUCCAGCUAGAGUCUUGUAGAGGGGGGUAGAAUUCCAGGUGUAGCGGUGAAAUGCGUAGAGAUCUGGAGGAAUACCGGUGGCGAAGGCGGCCCCCUGGACAAAGACUGACGCUCAGGUGCGAAAGCGUGGGGAGCAAACAGGAUUAGAUACCCCCGUAGU